GAAGAUUAUUCUUGCAAUUACCAGCGGUUCGCAUUACUAAAAUAUCGGUGGGAAUACCUAACAGAAUAUGCUUGGUAUUCCGAUGUGCAUGGUCUAAAGAUUUCA
This 105-nucleotide microRNA precursor is filed under the name Apis mellifera (honey bee). RNAcentral's name for it is "microRNA ame-mir-3763 precursor". Lineage: Eukaryota; Metazoa; Arthropoda; Insecta; Hymenoptera; Apidae. The record is from miRBase by way of RNAcentral.